This 73-nucleotide transfer RNA is filed under the name Paramuricea clavata. It matches the Rfam family "tRNA". From Rfam's summary of the family: Transfer RNA (tRNA) molecules are approximately 80 nucleotides in length. Their secondary structure includes four short double-helical elements and three loops (D, anti-codon, and T loops). The record is from Rfam by way of RNAcentral. Lineage: Eukaryota; Metazoa; Cnidaria; Anthozoa; Malacalcyonacea; Plexauridae.
GACCGCGUAGCUCAGCUGGCAGAGCAUUGGGCUAGUAUUCCAAAGGUCGUAGGUUCGAUUCCCACCGUGGCCG